CCUACGGGAGGCUGCAGUGGGGAAUAUUGGGCAAUGGAGGAAACUCUGACCCAGCAAUGCCGCGUGAAUGAAGAAGGUCUUCGGAUUGUAAAGUUCUUUAGUCAGGGAAGAAUAAAAUGACGGUACCUGAAGAAUAAGCUCCGGCUAACUACGUGCCAGCAGCCGCGGUAAUACGUAGGGAGCAAGCGUUGUUCGGAAUGACUGGGCGUAAAGGGUGCGUAGGCGGAAGAUCAAGUCAGCGGUAAAAUUGAGAGGCUCAACCUCUUCGAGCCGUUGAAACUGGUUUUCUUGAGUGAGCGAGAAGUAUGCGGAAUGCGUGGUGUAGCGGUGAAAUGCAUAGAUAUCACGCAGAACUCCGAUUGCGAAGGCAGCAUACCGGCGCUCAACUGACGCUCAUGCACGAAAGUGUGGGUAUCGAACAGGAUUAGAUACCCCGGUAGUC
RNAcentral lists this ribosomal RNA (442 nucleotides) under uncultured bacterium. RNAcentral's name for it is "partial 16S ribosomal RNA". It matches the Rfam family "Bacterial small subunit ribosomal RNA", at positions 338 to 795 of the family's 1533-position model. The record is from RNAcentral.